UGUGCCCUACGGGGGGCAGCAGUGGGGAAUAUUGCACAAUGGGGGAAACCCUGAUGCAGCGACGCCGCGUGAGUGAAGAAGUAUUUCGGUAUGUAAAGCUCUAUCAGCAGGGAAGAAGUUGACGGUACCUGAGUAAGAAGCCCCGGCUAACUACGUGCCAGCAGCCGCGGCAAUACGUAGGGGGCAAGCGUUAUCCGGAUUUACUGGGUGUAAAGGGAGCGUAGACGGCAGUGCAAGUCUGAAGUGAAAGCCCCGGGCUUAACCCGGGAACUGCUUUGGAAACUG
Molecule: ribosomal RNA, 285 nt
Filed under: uncultured bacterium
Lineage: Bacteria
Description: partial 16S ribosomal RNA
Rfam family: Bacterial small subunit ribosomal RNA
Source: RNAcentral